UACGUAGGGUGCGAGCGUUAAUCGGAAUUACUGGGCGUAAAGCGUGCGCAGGCGGUUUUGUAAGCCAGAUGUGAAAGCCCCGGGCUUAACCUGGGAAUGGCAUUUGGGACUGCAAGGCUGGAGUGUGGCAGAGGAGACUGGAAUUCCUGGUGUAGCAGUGAAAUGCGUAGAUAUCAGGAGGAAUACCGAUGGCGAAGGCAGGUCUCUGGGCUGACACUGCCGCUCAUGCACGAAAGCGUGGGGAGCAAACAGG
RNAcentral lists this ribosomal RNA (253 nucleotides) under uncultured bacterium. RNAcentral describes it as "partial 16S ribosomal RNA". It matches the Rfam family "Bacterial small subunit ribosomal RNA", at positions 524 to 776 of the family's 1533-position model. The record is from RNAcentral.